AUCCCUGGUUUAAUACUUCCUAGUUUAUUGACAAAAACAAUAACGUUUGACAAGGCAAGUUUCAUGUAUACAUAAAGAUUGUCAUGUAAGUGGCUGGCUUUUUAAAGGCAGCUAUGUGCUCUUUAGCCAUCUUCUAGAUCGUUGGAACGCGCUCAUUUUCGACAAGGAGAGGGUGUAUAUAAUAUAGAUAUUGAUGUGUUUAAACCAGUGGUGCCCACCGAAAUGUUGGCACGAAGAGUAAAUACCCCCUCCAAAAAAUAAAAAGGCUGACUUAUGUAUCUUUACCUAAAUAAAAGAUUGUUAAACUACGCCUAUAGAUUGGAGGAUCGAUAGGAAUAUUUACAAAAUAGCGACAAUAAAACGAGUCGGUAGUAAAGCUAGCUACAAUGUUGCUCUGUUUUAAGUAAAUUGCUUCAGAUAUCCAAAUCCUUAAUGUAAGUACUAGAUCCACGGGUUUCUAAUCAAUUAGUUACAAAUUCAGGUGAAUUUAAUUUUUUUUUUUUACCUUUUCAUUCAUGUGGCCCGCGACACGAGUGUCAGAAAUUAUAAUGGCCUGCAGGUCGAAUUAGGUUGGGCAUCACUGGUUUAAACAAUAACAAUAGAAACAUUGGUACCAAGAAAAGUGUCAGAGAAAAUGGAGUGUCAUAAGAUGUAUAUAAUUCUUAAUGUAUUCCAACAAUAAUUAUGAAUACAUUGGUACCAACAAAAUACUUCAGGUUUAAAUAACAUGACUUUUGGUCAAUCAAAGCAAAGGAAGUUUACUAUUCCAGUGUUUCAAUUUAAUUGCAUAUAUGCUACACAUCAUGUUGCGAUC
Biomphalaria pfeifferi is the source of this 814-nucleotide non-coding RNA. The record is from the annotation of a GenBank genome assembly. NCBI's taxonomy places the organism in Eukaryota, Metazoa, Mollusca, Gastropoda, Planorbidae.